UUAAAUUGAAGAGUUUGAUCAUGGCUCAGAUUGAACGCUGGCGGCAGGCCUAACACAUGCAAGUCGAACGGUAACAGGAAGCAGCUUGCUGCUUCGCUGACGAGUGGCGGACGGGUGAGUAAUGUCUGGGAAACUGCCUGAUGGAGGGGGAUAACUACUGGAAACGGUGGCUAAUACCGCAUAACGUCGCAAGACCAAAGAGGGGGACCUUCGGGCCUCUUGCCAUCAGAUGUGCCCAGAUGGGAUUAGCUUGUUGGUGAGGUAACGGCUCACCAAGGCGACGAUCCCUAGCUGGUCUGAGAGGAUGACCAGCCACACUGGAACUGAGACACGGUCCAGACUCCUACGGGAGGCAGCAGUGGGGAAUAUUGCACAAUGGGCGCAAGCCUGAUGCAGCCAUGCCGCGUGUAUGAAGAAGGCCUUCGGGUUGUAAAGUACUUUCAGCGGGGAGGAAGGUGUUGUGGUUAAUAACCGCAGCAAUUGACGUUACCCGCAGAAGAAGCACCGGCUAACUCCGUGCCAGCAGCCGCGGUAAUACGGAGGGUGCAAGCGUUAAUCGGAAUUACUGGGCGUAAAGCGCACGCAGGCGGUCUGUCAAGUCGGAUGUGAAAUCCCCGGGCUCAACCUGGGAACUGCAUUCGAAACUGGCAGGCUUGAGUCUUGUAGAGGGGGGUAGAAUUCCAGGUGUAGCGGUGAAAUGCGUAGAGAUCUGGAGGAAUACCGGUGGCGAAGGCGGCCUCCUGGACAAAGACUGACGCUCAGGUGCGAAAGCGUGGGGAGCAAACAGGAUUAGAUACCCUGGUAGUCCACGCCGUAAACGAUGUCUACUUGGAGGUUGUGCCCUUGAGGCGUGGCUUCCGGAGCUAACGCGUUAAGUAGACCGCCUGGGGAGUACGGCCGCAAGGUUAAAACUCAAAUGAAUUGACGGGGGCCCGCACAAGCGGUGGAGCAUGUGGUUUAAUUCGAUGCAACGCGAAGAACCUUACCUGGUCUUGACAUCCACAGAACUUUCCAGAGAUGGAUUGGUGCCUUCGGGAACUGUGAGACAGGUGCUGCAUGGCUGUCGUCAGCUCGUGUUGUGAAAUGUUGGGUUAAGUCCCGCAACGAGCGCAACCCUUAUCCUUUGUUGCCAGCGAUUAGGUCGGGAACUCAAAGGAGACUGCCAGUGAUAAACUGGAGGAAGGUGGGGAUGACGUCAAGUCAUCAUGGCCCUUACGACCAGGGCUACACACGUGCUACAAUGGCGCAUACAAAGAGAAGCGACCUCGCGAGAGCAAGCGGACCUCAUAAAGUGCGUCGUAGUCCGGAUUGGAGUCUGCAACUCGACUCCAUGAAGUCGGAAUCGCUAGUAAUCGUGGAUCAGAAUGCCACGGUGAAUACGUUCCCGGGCCUUGUACACACCGCCCGUCACACCAUGGGAGUGGGUUGCAAAAGAAGUAGGUAGCUUAACCUUCGGGAGGGCGCUUACCACUUUGUGAUUCAUGACUGGGGUGAAGUCGUAACAAGGUAACCGUAGGGGAACCUGCGGUUGGAUCACCUCCUUACCUUAAAGAAGC
RNAcentral lists this ribosomal RNA (1556 nucleotides) under Salmonella enterica subsp. enterica serovar Heidelberg. RNAcentral's name for it is "bacterial SSU rRNA". It matches the Rfam family "Bacterial small subunit ribosomal RNA". Lineage: Bacteria; Pseudomonadati; Pseudomonadota; Gammaproteobacteria; Enterobacterales; Enterobacteriaceae. The record is from RNAcentral.